RNAcentral lists this unclassified non-coding RNA (381 nucleotides) under soil metagenome. RNAcentral's name for it is "partial contains 5.8S ribosomal RNA, internal transcribed spacer 2, and large subunit ribosomal RNA". The stretch from base 1 to 120 matches the Rfam family "5.8S ribosomal RNA", at positions 35 to 154 of the family's 154-position model. The record is from RNAcentral.
GAUGAAGAACGCAGCGAAAUGCGAUAAGUAAUGUGAAUUGCAGAAUUCAGUGAAUCAUCGAAUCUUUGAACGCACCUUGCGCUCCUUGGUAUUCCGAGGAGCAUGCCUGUUUGAGUGUCAUUAAUAUAUCAACCUCUUCAGCUUAUGCUUGUUGAGUGUUGGAUGGUGGGGGUUUGCUGGUGUCUUAUGAAGUCAGCUCCUCUGAAAUGCAUUAGCGGAACAAUUUGUUGACCGUUCAUUGGUGUGAUAAAAAUAUCUACGCUAUUGACGUCAGUCAGUUCAGCUUCUAACAGUCCAUUGACUUUGACAAAUUUUUCAUUAAUGUGACCUCAAAUCAGGUAGGACUACCCGCUGAACUUAAGCAUAUCAAUAAGCGGAGGA